Rana temporaria (common frog) is the source of this 107-nucleotide small nuclear RNA. Lineage: Eukaryota; Metazoa; Chordata; Amphibia; Anura; Ranidae. The record is from RefSeq and is a predicted model, not a curated record.
AUCCUCACUUCGGUAGGACAUAUACUAAAAUUGGAAUAAUACAGAGAAGAUUAGCAUGACCCCCGUGUAGGAAAGACACACAAAUUUGUGAAGCCAAAAAAAAAAGG